Molecule: ribosomal RNA, 253 nt
Filed under: uncultured bacterium
Lineage: Bacteria
Description: partial 16S ribosomal RNA
Rfam family: Bacterial small subunit ribosomal RNA
Source: RNAcentral
UACAGAGGUCUCAAGCGUUGUUCGGAUUCAUUGGGCGUAAAGGGCGCGUAGGUGGCAUGGUAAGUCGGAUGUGAAAUCCCGGGGCUCAACCCCGGAACUGCAUUCGAUACUGCUGCGCUAGAGUACUGGAGAGGAGAGUGGAAUUUACGGUGUAGCAGUGAAAUGCGUAGAUAUCGUAAGGAAGACCAGUGGCGAAGGCGGAUCUCUGGACAGUGACUGACGCUGAGGCACGAAGGCCAGGGGAGCAAACGGG